This 332-nucleotide unclassified non-coding RNA is filed under the name Basidiomycota sp. RNAcentral describes it as "partial contains small subunit ribosomal RNA, internal transcribed spacer 1, and 5.8S ribosomal RNA". The stretch from base 1 to 47 matches the Rfam family "Eukaryotic small subunit ribosomal RNA", at positions 1785 to 1831 of the family's 1831-position model. The record is from RNAcentral. Lineage: Eukaryota; Fungi; Basidiomycota.
AAAGUCGUAACAAGGUUUCCGUAGGUGAACCUGCGGAAGGAUCAUUACAGAAUAAACAUGAUGGGUUGUUGCUGGUUCAGUAAUCUGAACAAGUGCACGCUUAUCGUAUUUAUCUUUCCACCAUGUGCACCCCACGUAGGACUGAAGAAUUUUAAUUUGAUCAGAGCUUGCUUUGAUUAUUUGGAAUCUGCUGUGUAACCAUUCCAGCUUUUUCUGACUUCAGCUUCUAUGAUUUAUUUAAAUACACCAAUGUAUGUUAAUGAACGUUAUACUAGGCCCACAAAGCCUAUACAAUUAUUAUACAACUUUCAGCAACGGAUCUCUUGGCUCUC